GACGAACGCUGGCGGCGUGCUUAACACAUGCAAGUCGAACGAUGAUCUGGGUGCUUGCACCUGGGGAUUAGUGGCGAACGGGUGAGUAACACGUGAGUAACCUGCCCUGGACUCUGGGAUAACCCCGAGAAAUCGGAGCUAAUACCGGAUAGGACCUUGCACCGCAUGGUGUGGGGUGGAAAGUUUUUUCGGUCUGGGAUGGACUCGCGGCCUAUCAGCUUGUUGGUGAGGUAAUGGCUCACCAAGGCGUCGACGGGUAGCCGGCCUGAGAGGGUGACCGGCCACACUGGGACUGAGACACGGCCCAGACUCCUACGGGAGGCAGCAGUGGGGAAUAUUGCACAAUGGGCGCAAGCCUGAUGCAGCAACGCCGCGUGCGGGAUGACGGCCUUCGGGUUGUAAACCGCUUUUAGUAAGGAAGAAGCGAAAGUGACGGUACCUACAGAAGAAGCACCGGCCAACUACGUGCCAGCAGCCGCAGUAAAAC
RNAcentral lists this ribosomal RNA (487 nucleotides) under uncultured bacterium. RNAcentral describes it as "bacterial SSU rRNA". It matches the Rfam family "Bacterial small subunit ribosomal RNA", at positions 28 to 526 of the family's 1533-position model. The record is from RNAcentral.